Rosa rugosa (rugosa rose) is the source of this 2157-nucleotide long non-coding RNA. RefSeq lists it as uncharacterized. The record is from RefSeq and is a predicted model, not a curated record. The transcript has 3 exons. NCBI's taxonomy places the organism in Eukaryota, Viridiplantae, Streptophyta, Magnoliopsida, Rosales, Rosaceae.
CCCACCAGAGCGCCAGGUAGCGCCUCUUUCUUCUCUCUCAGCAAAAUCAGGAAAGGAAAAAAGAGAAGAGUUUUUCGGGUCGAGAUCCGGCGACGCUCCGUCGGGUUUCGUCCGCCUGAAUUCCGGAACUCCGAGCUGUCUCUUCUCUUCUUCUUAUUCUUCUGUUCCUCCUCCUCCUCGCCGCUCUCACAAUGAAGGCUUCCGGUACUCUCGUCGCCUCCAUGGUCGCCGCCUCCACCAUGGCUCUGACCUCCUCCUCCUCCUCCUCCUCUCCCUCCGCCGCGCCGGGACUUGCCUCUGCGAAGGGCGGGCGCAAUUCGCAUACGGCGUCGGCGUCGGCGUCGUCGGAUAAGGAGAAGUUCGAGCCCAGAUUCGACGGGUUGAGGUUCAUUGAGACGUUGGUCACAGCGCACAGAUGAAAGGAGAUCCCCAAAUUUAUUUCGAGGAGCCGGUGAUUAGUUUGUGAAAUCCGCAAAAUUAGAAUUCAGAGAGAAACUGCUUUUCUUUUUGCCUUCCUUUUUCUGAUGUGAUUGGGUCGUUUUUGGUGUUUGGUAUGUUCUCAAUCUCAUAUCUCUAACUACGAGGCCUUUUUUUUUGGGUGUUGCUUAGUGGGUCAUUUGUGGUCUGGUUUGUAUUGUAAUUUCUCUUCGGAGGAAAUUAUUUGGGGAUUUAAAUUGUAUAAAACAUUGUUUUGCCAACCCAUUAACAUGUGCUGCUUCCAGUUGUGAAUUUGGCAAAUUCUUAGUUUCUGUGUUUGCUUAGGAAAGAAUGAAUCUACCAGCUAAGCAAAGCCUGCAAAUUGGGAUUCAAAUUACCCAACGUGUUGGGUUUGCCAUGCUUGAAUUUUUAAUAUUUGGGGUUGGCUGGAGCAUGAGGAUUCUGGGCUUAUUCCUUUACCCAGAAGUCAAAAAAAUAAGGUUAUUUGUGGAGGAAGUAAACUAAGAUUGGAUGAGUCGGACAGACUUGAACAGAAUGAGUAAAAUAUGUAUUUGUCUUUUGGUGAUAAAAAUGUGUAGGAAACUUCAAGGAAGAUGACUAGGCCAAGUGCACAAACAAGAACAACAUGCCGAGUUGCCAACUGGGAGGGCCGAUCUCGAGACUGGAGGUCUCCAACUUCUAAGGAUCAUAUCCCCAGAUUUGGGAGAAGUAUGGAAACCCGUAUUCUAGGAUGGGUCUCAGAACCACCGACCCAAUUUGGUCCUAUAUCGACCUAAUGUUCAUGGACUGGACAAGUGGUCUAUAUACGUCAUUGUGGUGAGGAAACAUUUAAAAAUGAAUUAGGAACUCCAUGCGCUACGAUUUUAUAUUCUGAAAUGACUCAAUAUACCACAAACUUUUGUUGAGGAAAAUCACUUGGUUGUGGUCCAAGAGUCACGAUGAUGUGGACCUUUAAAAAAAAUCUGUGUAAAACUUGUGAUGGAAUAAUGUUUUGACGACUCCAACCUCUUAAAUUCCUGUGCUUGAGAUUGUUAUAUGAUAGUAGGCCACAAGUCUCCUAGAUAUUGUCAUGUUAGGCCAAAAGUGGAACCUUGUAGAAUGUAGAAUGUAGAAUGCAGACAGAGAAACAAUUAAGCGUGAUAUUAAGUUACCCAUUUCAUCUCAUCUUGUUUUGUUUGCAGCCACAUAUCUAAUAAAUGGUCUGUAUUCACUGACUCCAUGUAUUACUGAAGCACUCAUUUGAUAUGUGGAUGGUAUGAAGGCCUGGACCCGAACGCGUUUCAAUCAUCAAUUUCUUUCAUCUGUAAAGCGUUCUUCUUCAAGUUGCAAUUUGUAGCCAACCACCUUAAUUUAAAUUCUUUGGAAAAUAUGUCAAAUUUGUAAGGGUAAUUGAGGAUUAUGGUAUGAUUUAGUAGGUUAAGUCCCAAUGAGAUUUCGGAUAAGAACCAAUGACUAGGUUUGUUCAUAGUAGAGUUUUUGUCUAUAUUCGAGAUGCCGGAGAAGCACGGGUGAGCCAAUGGACUCUGAUGCUAAAUCACCUUGCUACCUAUCAAGAGAAAUAUACAAGGUCGGGAAGAAGAUCGAGCGGGUUGGCCAUUGUCACUCUGAUGCCGAAGUUAGUUUCCUUGUAUUUAAUUUGACAAAAUAACAAUAGGUAAAAGUAGUUAAUGCACAUUAUUGGAGGUAAUUAGCCUCCUUAAAUAGACAUUAAUUGGAUUA